UACGUAGGGCGCAAGCGUUGUCCGGAAUUAUUGGGCGUAAAGAGCUCGUAGGCGGCUUGUCACGUCGAUUGUGAAAGCCCGAGGCUUAACCUCGGGUCUGCAGUCGAUACGGGCUAGCUAGAGUGUGGUAGGGGAGAUCGGAAUUCCUGGUGUAGCGGUGAAAUGCGCAGAUAUCAGGAGGAACACCAAUGGCGAAGGCAGCUCGCUGGGACGGUACUGACGCUGAGACGCGAAAGCGUGGGGAGCAAACAGG
This 253-nucleotide ribosomal RNA is filed under the name uncultured bacterium. RNAcentral's name for it is "partial 16S ribosomal RNA". It matches the Rfam family "Bacterial small subunit ribosomal RNA", at positions 524 to 776 of the family's 1533-position model. The record is from RNAcentral.